This 99-nucleotide ribosomal RNA is filed under the name uncultured bacterium. RNAcentral's name for it is "partial 16S ribosomal RNA". It matches the Rfam family "Bacterial small subunit ribosomal RNA", at positions 1388 to 1482 of the family's 1533-position model. The record is from RNAcentral.
CACCGCCCGUCACACCAUGGGAGUUGGGUUCACCCGAAGGCGGUCCGCCAACCUGGCAACAGGAGGCAGCCGACCACGGUGAGCUCAGCGACUGGGGUG